UGGAGGUUUUUAAAAACUUCCAUAAAAUAAUUUAUUUGUGGCAAUUUAUCAAACUCCCAAUCAUGAUUAUGGACAAACUCCCACUUUUUAUGCAUAGUUAAAACUCCCAUCCAAACAAAACGAACCCACCAAAAAAAAAAGAAUGGUGAAACACUCCAAAACCCUAAACAGAACAUUUUCGAUUCCAAUGGAGGAGACACAGCGAUGCCGCAUCUCCAACUCAUUCCGCCACCGCCGACUUACCCGCAUCUGAGCCUACAUCAACGCGCCACCGUGCCAGAGCUCUGAAGCCCAAGGCCAGCUCCCUCUCACUAUGGCACGUCAUAUCCGCGCGGCGUCGCUACUGCGUCGUCUUUCCCAGCAGGUUUUGCCACUUGUUCUGCUUUUGCUCCGGCGGAUGUGAAGCACUCGGAGCAUGGUUUGGGCGUAGACUCAGUGCCGAUGGCUGAGGAGAUCUGAGAGAAGAGCGAAACCGAGAGAUUCAGAGAGGAGAGACAGCUCGCAUUGCCAUCGCCACUGCCGUCGCCAUUGCGGUUUAUCGCCUCUCCAGAUCUGGUUGCAACGCCCAAGCCUCUGAGGAUGUUCCGUUACGACCUCUUCGACGAGACGCAGAACAAGCUCGAUUACAUCCUCUCUCUCACCGUCGAGAACUUGCUCGGGCGCCGCCUCCAUACUCUCGUCUUCAAGUCUGGUAUAGCCAAGUCCAUUCACCAGCGCUACAUUAGAAUCUAACUUCCUAAACAUUCAAAUAGCUCAAAAUUAAAGCCACAGAGGAGGUUGAUUAAGCUGGAGGCUUUGGAGAAAGUCAUCCAUGAAAGAAUAGAUGCUCCCAGAGCACCUAGGCAGUGGUGGUUUGGCAAGGGGACUGACUUGACUCCUUCUUACAUUUUCGAGGAUGAUGUUAAACACUUCCAUUCGGUUAAACUUAAAGAACUUGAAGCUGGUCUGCUUGAGAAUAAGGCAAAUAAUUAGAAGUUGCAACACACCUACAACGAGCUGGUAGAAUAUAAGCUUGUUUUGGAGAAGAUUGUAAGUAUAGAUGGAAACAUUAUGCUUAGGCUCAACAGAGCAAUGGGUUGCUUCUUCGCGUGUUUCAGGAACAACGAUAACCAUUGUUGCCGCAUCACCUGACCGCCAACUCUUCUAGUUCCACCGAUGUUCUGGUAUCUCGAAACAGCUAUUCCUCUGUGUUUCGAGCUCAAGGCCAAGUUUCUUAAAGCCUGUGGUACUUUACCAGGGACACCUGUUGAAAUUCGGAAAACAUUUGAGAAACUGAAAGUGUCACCCUCUCCCAAUAAACAUUCUGAGCCAUCAAAGUUUCAUUCUUGGCUUCCGAAUGAGUCUGUUGAGAAACUUCAACUGGAUUUUCAUUCAGUUAACCCCCAAACACCCUUGAAAAAUUUUCAAGAAUUGGGAGAUAGUACAGACUCUUUUGAGCACACACCAGACAGGCAUAUACGAGCGAGUUGCAACUUAAAGUGGAUCACUUGCUGGAAAAGAAUGCAAGACUCAAGAGACAGCAACAAAAGGCAUGCAUCUUCAUUUAUAUACAUAAAUACACACAUUUUAGUUACUAGUGAUUUUGUUUGUUUAUGUUUAUGUUUCAAUAUUUCAUCAAGUGAACCUUAUCUUCAUUUCGUUCUUGCAAAAUGGGAUCUGGUUUAACUUUGUGCGUUUGUAUAGUGUGUUUCUAGUUUCUUAUCAUUGUACUACUUUAUCAUGGAACAAUCUAACAACUUGUAGCUUUGUGGCUUUCUGCUACUAUUCUCAGUGCAAAACAGCUGAAGAAAUGUUUAAUAACUCUAGAACUUAGAUGGUUUGUACAUUAUAGCUGUAAUUUGUAUAGUGUGUUUCUGGGAUUUGACUCUCAUGUGGCAUUUGUAUAGUGUGUUUCUAGUUUCUUAACUUUAUUUGCGGUUGAAGAUAUGCUCUUCUGUCUAUUGAUGGUUA
Molecule: RNA transcript, 1950 nt
Organism: Arachis duranensis
Lineage: Eukaryota; Viridiplantae; Streptophyta; Magnoliopsida; Fabales; Fabaceae
Exons: 8
Source: RefSeq, a predicted model, not a curated record